RNAcentral lists this transfer RNA (73 nucleotides) under Felis catus (domestic cat). It matches the Rfam family "tRNA". From Rfam's summary of the family: Transfer RNA (tRNA) molecules are approximately 80 nucleotides in length. Their secondary structure includes four short double-helical elements and three loops (D, anti-codon, and T loops). Lineage: Eukaryota; Metazoa; Chordata; Mammalia; Carnivora; Felidae. The record is from Rfam by way of RNAcentral.
ACCUAACUGGCUCAGUCAGUAGAGCAUGCGACUCUUGACCUCAGGGUUGUGAGUUUGAGCCCCACGUUGGUUG